Long non-coding RNA from Micropterus dolomieu (smallmouth bass), 390 nucleotides. RefSeq lists it as uncharacterized. The transcript is spliced from 3 exons. The record is from RefSeq and is a predicted model, not a curated record. NCBI's taxonomy places the organism in Eukaryota, Metazoa, Chordata, Actinopteri, Centrarchiformes, Centrarchidae.
UUGUAAAGCUGCUUGUGGCAACCUCCUAGUGAUGAUCCACUCUAUCAGCUCUUCCCUCAUGCUGCUACUGCUGUGGAAACAUGCUGUGGCAAAAGCUGCAGUGAAGAGCAAACGACGCUUCUGAUCAUGAGCCGAGGCUCACCGCAAAGGCAGGUUGAGUGAUGAAGGCGAGGAUCAGAGGAGUGCGAGAGGCAGAUGAGCAGAAGCAAGAGCUGCAAAAUGGUGUCUCUUCAUAGCGAAAGCUAGCAAGAGCCAUGCUUGGCAUGAGCCUUGUCAGUGGAGAUCAAAGUUGUCACACGAUAAUGACAGUAUUUCUCUUUUAAAAAUUCCGAUAUAUUCUGUGCUAUUUGUGUAGCCAGCUGAGACAAUAAAGCUUCAUUAGCGAAUGAA